Long non-coding RNA from Corticium candelabrum, 136 nucleotides. RefSeq lists it as uncharacterized. NCBI's taxonomy places the organism in Eukaryota, Metazoa, Porifera, Homoscleromorpha, Homosclerophorida, Plakinidae. The record is from RefSeq and is a predicted model, not a curated record. The transcript has 3 exons.
CGCCUUUGCUGCGAAGGCUAAAUGGCUGAAAGAGCUGGAGCUUGUGUUUUUGUUCUGCUGAUUGCAGUGCUACUACAAAUACAGACUGUUUUUUCUCUACAAAUGCGUGACCGUUCACCACGUCUGCGUUGGACUC